GGAGGCUUAUGAUGCUUUAAUAACUGCCUACAUUGUCCGACUGUUUUCUGAGAGAAAUGAAUUUGUUCUAAAGCCUAC
This is a non-coding RNA of Corchorus olitorius, 78 nucleotides long. Lineage: Eukaryota; Viridiplantae; Streptophyta; Magnoliopsida; Malvales; Malvaceae. The record is from Rfam.